RNAcentral lists this small nuclear RNA (172 nucleotides) under Solanum tuberosum (potato). RNAcentral's name for it is "snRNA U2". It matches the Rfam family "U2 spliceosomal RNA". Rfam says of the family: U2 is a small nuclear RNA (snRNA) component of the spliceosome (involved in pre-mRNA splicing). Lineage: Eukaryota; Viridiplantae; Streptophyta; Magnoliopsida; Solanales; Solanaceae. The record is from Rfam by way of RNAcentral.
AUACCUCUCUAGGCCUUUUUCGCUAAGAUCAAGUGUAGUAUCUAUUUCCUAUCAGUUUAAUAAAUGAUAUCAACUAAUUUUUUUGAAGUGGAUGUCCACCAUGGUAGCUUGCUAUUAGGACCUACAAAUGUUGCCUUGACAUUGCACUAUUGCCUUGUUGGGUACACCCCCA